RNAcentral lists this ribosomal RNA (725 nucleotides) under Lutibacter sp. RNAcentral describes it as "bacterial SSU rRNA". It matches the Rfam family "Bacterial small subunit ribosomal RNA", at positions 28 to 744 of the family's 1533-position model. The record is from RNAcentral. Lineage: Bacteria; Pseudomonadati; Bacteroidota; Flavobacteriia; Flavobacteriales; Flavobacteriaceae.
GAUGAACGCUAGCGGCAGGCUUAACACAUGCAAGUCGAGGGGUAACAGGGAGGAGCUUGCUUUUCCGCUGACGACCGGCGCACGGGUGCGUAACGCGUAUAGAACCUACCUUUUACAGGGGAAUAGCCCAGAGAAAUUUGGAUUAAUGCCCCAUAGUAUUAUUGAAUGGCAUCAUUUAAUAAUUAAACAUUUAUGGGUAAAAGAUGGCUAUGCGUUCUAUUAGCUAGAUGGUAAGGUAACGGCUUACCAUGGCAACGAUAGAUAGGGGUCCUGAGAGGGAGAUCCCCCACACUGGUACUGAGACACGGACCAGACUCCUACGGGAGGCAGCAGUGAGGAAUAUUGGACAAUGGAGGCAACUCUGAUCCAGCCAUGCCGCGUGCAGGAAGACGGUCCUAUGGAUUGUAAACUGCUUUUAUAUAGGAAGAAACCUUUCCACGUGUGGAAAGCUGACGGUACUAUAAGAAUAAGCACCGGCUAACUCCGUGCCAGCAGCCGCGGUAAUACGGAGGGUGCAAGCGUUAUCCGGAAUCAUUGGGUUUAAAGGGUCCGUAGGCGGACUAAUAAGUCAGGGGUGAAAUCCAACAGCUUAACUGUUGAACUGCCUUUGAUACUGUUAGUCUUGAGUUAUAUGGAAGUAGAUAGAAUAUGUAGUGUAGCGGUGAAAUGCUUAGAGAUUACAUAGAAUACCGAUUGCGAAGGCAGUCUACUACGUAUAUACUGAC